This 457-nucleotide ribosomal RNA is filed under the name uncultured bacterium. Its description in RNAcentral is "bacterial SSU rRNA". It matches the Rfam family "Bacterial small subunit ribosomal RNA", at positions 340 to 787 of the family's 1533-position model. The record is from RNAcentral.
UACGGAAGGCAGCAGUGGGGAAUAUUGCACAAUGGGCGAAAGCCUGAUGCAGCUAUGCCGCGUGUAUGAAGAAGGCCUUAGGGUUGUAAAGUACUUUCAUCGGGGAGGAAAAAACAAAACUAAUAAUUUUAUUUCUUGACGUUACCCGAAAAAGAAGCACCGGCUAACUCCGUGCCAGCAGCCGCGGUAAUACGGAGGGUGCUAGCGUUAAUCAGAAUUACUGGGCGUAAAGAGCACGUAGGUGGUUUUUUUAAGUCAGAUGUGAAAUCCCUGGGCUUAACCUAGGAACUGCAUUUUGAAACUGAAAUACUAGAGUAUCGUAGAGGGAGGUAGAAUUCUAGGUGUAGCGGUGAAAUGCGUAGAUAUCUGGAGGAAUACCUGUGGCGAAAGCGGCCUCCUAAACGAAUACUGACACUGAGGUGCGAAAGCGUGGGGAGCAAACAGGGAUUAGACUACC